RNAcentral lists this ribosomal RNA (524 nucleotides) under uncultured bacterium. Its description in RNAcentral is "partial 16S ribosomal RNA". It matches the Rfam family "Bacterial small subunit ribosomal RNA", at positions 28 to 523 of the family's 1533-position model. The record is from RNAcentral.
GACGAACGCUGGCGGCGUGCCUAAUACAUGCAAGUCGAACGCUUCUUUUUCCACCGGAGCUUGCUCCACCGGAAAAAGAGGAGUGGCGAACGGGUGAGUAACACGUGGGUAACCUGCCCAUCAGAAGGGGAUAACACUUGGAAACAGGUGCUAAUACCGUAUAACAAUCGAAACCGCAUGGUUUUGAUUUGAAAGGCGCUUUCGGGUGUCGCUGAUGGAUGGACCCGCGGUGCAUUAGCUAGUUGGUGAGGUAACGGCUCACCAAGGCCACGAUGCAUAGCCGACCUGAGAGGGUGAUCGGCCACAUUGGGCCUGAGACACGGACCAAACUCCUACGGGAGGCAGCAGUAGGGAAUCUUCGGCAAUGGACGAAAGUCUGACCGAGCAACGCCGCGUGAGUGAAGAAGGUUUUCGGAUCGUAAAACUCUGUUGUUAGAGAAGAACAAGGAUGAGAGUAACUGUUCAUCCCUUGACGGUAUCUAACCAGAAAGCCACGGCUAACUACGUGCCAGCCGCCGCGGUAA